Non-coding RNA from Mycena vulgaris, 94 nucleotides. NCBI's taxonomy places the organism in Eukaryota, Fungi, Basidiomycota, Agaricomycetes, Agaricales, Mycenaceae. The record is from the annotation of a GenBank genome assembly.
GGCUCAGUGGUGGAUGGUCCACACCUGCUUUCCAUGCAAAGCGAUUGGACAAUUAAGUCAGCAGGAGGAGCCGGUUCGAAUCAGGCCUGAGCCA